Molecule: ribosomal RNA, 1346 nt
Filed under: metagenome
Description: bacterial LSU rRNA
Rfam family: Bacterial large subunit ribosomal RNA
Source: RNAcentral
GUGAAGUGAUCGAACGAGGUUCCAGGAAAAGCCACUAAGCUUCAGCUGCACACGACCGUACCGCAAACCGACACUGGUGCGCGAGAUGAGUAUUCUAAGGCGCUUGAGAGAACUCGGGAGAAGGAACUCGGCAAAUUGACACCGUAACUUCGGAAGAAGGUGUGCCCUAUUAGUGUGAAGCGAACAGCGGAGCAUGAACGGGUUGCAAAGAAUCGGUGGCUGCGACUGUUUAUUAAAAACACAGCACUCUGCAAACACGAAAGUGGACGUAUAGGGUGUGACGCCUGCCCGGUGCUGGAAGAUUAAAUGAUGGGGUGCAAGCUCUUGAUUGAAGUCCCAGUAAACGGCGGCCGUAACAAUAACGGUCCUAAGGUAGCGAAAUUCCUUGUCGGGUAAGUUCCGACCUGCACGAAUGGCGUAACGAUGGCCACACUGUCUCCUCCCGAGACUCAGCGAAGUUGAAAUGUUUGUGAUGAUGCAAUCUCCCCGCGGAAAGACGGAAAGACCCCAUGAACCUUUACUGUAGCUUUGUAUUGGACUUUGAACAGAUCUGUGUAGGAUAGGUGGGAGGCUUUGAAGCAGGGUCGCUAGAUCUUGUGGAGCCAACGUUGAAAUACCACCCUGGUGUGUUUGAGGUUCUAACCUAGGUCCAUUAUCUGGAUCGGGGACCGUGCAUGGUAGGCAGUUUGACUGGGGCGGUCUCCUCCCAAAGCGUAACGGAGGAGUUCGAAGGUACGCUAGUUACGGUCGGACAUCGUGACGAUAGUGCAAUGGCAUAAGCGUGCUUAACUGCGAGACUGACAAGUCAAGCAGAUGCGAAAGCAGGACAUAGUGAUCCGGUGGUUCUGUAUGGAAGGGCCAUCGCUCAACGGAUAAAAGGUACUCUGGGGAUAACAGGCUGAUACCGCCCAAGAGUUCAUAUCGACGGCGGUGUUUGGCACCUCGAUGUCGGCUCAUCUCAUCCUGGGGCUGUAGCCGGUCCCAAGGGUAUGGCUGUUCGCCAUUUAAAGAGGUACGUGAGCUGGGUUUAAAACGUCGUGAGACAGUUUGGUCCCUAUCUUCCGUGGGCGCUGCAGAUUUGAGGAAGCCUGCUCCUAGUACGAGAGGACCGGGGUGGACACACCUCUGGUGUAUCGGUUGUCACGCCAGUGGCAUUGCCGAGUAGCUAUGUGUGGAAGAGAUAAACGCUGAAAGCAUCUAAGCGUGAAACUCGUUUCAAGAUGAGAUCUGCCGGGGCCUUGAGCCCCCUGAAGAGUCGUUCGAGACCAGGACGUUGAUAGGCAGGGUGUGGAAGCGCAGUAAUGCGUUAAGCUAACCUGUAUUAAUUGCUCGUGUGGCUUGACCAG